Daphnia pulex (common water flea) is the source of this 512-nucleotide long non-coding RNA. RefSeq lists it as uncharacterized. The record is from RefSeq and is a predicted model, not a curated record. Lineage: Eukaryota; Metazoa; Arthropoda; Branchiopoda; Diplostraca; Daphniidae. The transcript is spliced from 4 exons.
GCUAUUUAAAUUCUGCAUCUGUCUUACUUACAAGCAAUGCGUACGAAAAUAUUGAAAAUUUAGGUUAACUGUCUUAAAAAUGCGGCUCAGAGAAUGUUCGUGAAGUGAAAGCAAUUAUUGGCCUGUGGCUUUACAGGAGUUCUGUUCUGUCCAAUUUGCCAAAAAGUUAUCUACAGCUGUAUGUCUCAUCUCAUGCUGACACCUGUCACAGAAAAAAUCUGCUCAUCUGCAAAAAGUCAAACACGAAUGUUAUGAAUUUCGUACUAUAGUGGUCAAUGGAGUUGGCCCUGGUUGCCGUUACUGGCCUUUUGCGACGUCUUGAUAUCAGUUUCGAAUAAUAGCUCUGUGAACUUGAGGAAUCCUCACUCAUACUCGAGUGAACCUGCAGAAAGGUCUGCCAGUUUGUCCAGACAGGAUGUCCUUCUCGCUUGAAGGUCACGAGAAAAUUACGUAAAACUGGCAUGCGGUGGUGUAGAGGUUGGGUGAGAAUGACACGUGUUUCAUCGUUAUCA